CAAUAGCGUAUAUUAAAGUUGUUGCAGUUAAAAGCUCGUAGUUGGAUUUCUGGCAGGAGUGACCGGCCGCACACACUGUGUGCGAGUUGCGUCAUUCUGGCCAUCCUUGGUGAGAUCCUGUUUGGCAUUAAGUUGUCGGGCAGGGGAUAACCGUCGUUUACUGUGAAAAAUUAGAGUGUUUAAAGCAGGCUUAUGCCGUUGAAUACAUUAGCAUGGAAUAAUAAGAUAGGACCGCGUGGUCGUCUUGUUGGUUUGCACCGCGAGGUAAUGAUUAAUAGGUACAGUUGGGGGGUAUUCGUAUUUAAUUGUCAGAGGUGAAAUUCUUGGAUUUAUGAAAGACGAACUUCUGCGAAAGCAUUUACCAAGGAUGUUUUCAUUAAUCAAGAACGAAAGUUAGGGGAUCGAAGAUGAUUAGAU
RNAcentral lists this ribosomal RNA (417 nucleotides) under uncultured eukaryote. RNAcentral's name for it is "bacterial SSU rRNA". It matches the Rfam family "Eukaryotic small subunit ribosomal RNA", at positions 592 to 1013 of the family's 1831-position model. The record is from RNAcentral.